AGAGUUUGAUCAUGGCUCAGGACGAACGCUGGCGGCGUGCCUAAUACAUGCAAGUCGAACGAGGUUCAGCUGGUGGCAACACCGGCGAAGACCUAGUGGCGAACGGGUGAGUACCACGUGAGCAACCUGCCCCGAAGACCGGGAUAACACCGGGAAACCGGUGCUAAUACCGGAUGCCCUCACGAGAUCGCAUGGUCAUG
Molecule: ribosomal RNA, 200 nt
Filed under: uncultured bacterium
Lineage: Bacteria
Description: partial 16S ribosomal RNA
Rfam family: Bacterial small subunit ribosomal RNA
Source: RNAcentral